CAUUUCCCUCAGGAAAGUGCCUUCUCUUGACUUCUCAGUCCUUCAGCUUUCAGCCUGCUUCUUUAUGCCUCGGUCCCGCAAAUUUCCACAAUUUCCCUCAGAAAUGUACUUCUCCUCUGUCCCUCAGCCCAGAAGAUGCUGCCAGGCUCCUUCUUUGUGCCCCAAUCCCUCAAAUUUCCACAAUUUCCCUCAGAAAUGCCCCUCUCCCUGACCCCUUCUAUGUCUCUCUUCCCAGAAGAUGCUGCCAGGCUCCUUCUUUGUGCCCCAAUCCUUCAAAUUUCCACAAUUUCCCUCAGAAAUGCCCCUCUCCUGACUUCUCCUAUGUCCCUUAGCCCAGAAGAUGCUGCCAGGCGCCUUCCUUGUGCAUCAGUCCCUCAAAUUUCCACUAUUUCCUUCAGAAAUGCCCCUUUCUUGACUUCUGUCUCUCUUCUCAGAAGAUGCUGCCAGCCCAGGCUCCUACUAAGUGCCUCAGUCCCUCAAAUUUCCACAAUUUCCCUCAGAAAUGCCCUUCUCUUGGCUCCUUCUAUGUCCCUCAGCCCAGAAGAUGCUGCCAGGCUCCUUCCUUUGUGCCUCAAUUCCUCAAACUGCCUUCUCAGUCCCUGUGCCCUCAGCCUCCUUCCUUGUGCCUCAAUCCCUCAAAUGUCCACAAUAUCCCUCUGAGAUGACCCUCUCUUGACUCCUUCUAUGUCCCUCAGCUCAAAAGAUGCUGUCAGGCUUCUUUCUUGUGCCUCAAUCCCUCAAAUGUCCACAAUUUCAGAAAACUGCCUUUGCUUGACUUUUUCCUAUGUCCUUCAGCUGUCAAGCUUCUUCUUUGUGCCUCAAUCCCUCAAAUUUCAACAAUUUCUCACAGAAAUGCCCUUCUCUUGACUCCUAUGUCUCUCUGCCCAGAAGAUGCUGCCAGGCUCCUUCUUUGUGCUUCAAAAUCCUUCAAAUGUCCAUGAUUUGCUUCAGAAAACUGCCUUCUCUUCAGUCUCUCUGCCCUCUGCCCCCUUCUUUGUGCCUGGAUCUCUCAGAUUUCCGCAAUUUCCCUCAGAAGUGCCCCUCUCUUGUCUCCUUCUAUGUCUCUCUGCUCAGAAGAUGCUGCUAGGCUCCUUCCUUUUGCCUCAAUUCCUCAAAUUUCCUCCAGGAAACUGCCUUCUCCUGGACUUCUGCUAUGCUCCUCAGCUGCCAGGCUCUUUCUUUGUGCCUCAAUCCCUCAAAUUUCCACCAUUGCCCUCAGAAAUGUUCUUCUCCUGUGUCUCUCUGCCCCUUCUGGCUUGUGCCUCAGUCCCUGAGAACAAGGACCCUUCUCCUCUCCUCUAUCCUCGCUGUCCCUCAGCCCUGAGAAGAUGUUUCCACUGCCAGGCUCCUUCCUUCCCUUCCUUGUGCCUCAAUCCCUCGGAAUAAGCCAAGGCGGAGGCGGCAGGACGAUAUAUAUUAUCCGUUUUCCUUCCUUCCUUCCGUCGUCGUCCACACACACCCCCGCGCGGGAAGGGAGAAAAAACAAUACUGAAGGGAGACGAGACGUGGCGCUUCUUUCGCGCCUCCACUCAUUUAUUUCCCCGCCAACUGUCAUCAAGGGAGAAGGGAAGGCGAAGCGAGAAUCGCCAGACUCAAAACAUCUCCUCUGGGCACCCAUUUGAAGGAACAUCUUAUCAGUCAGCAAUCAUUUCAACAAGUGGUUAUAUUUACUGCAAAGGAAAGAAGAGAGAGAGAGAAGCUUGUGGUAUGAUCAGAGCAAAGUUUGGAGUCCAAAAAACUAAAACUGAAUCAUAGAACUGGACGAGACCCCAAGGGCCAACCAGUCCAACCCCAUUCUACUAUGCAGAAAACACAAUCAAAGCACCCUGGACAGAAGCUCAUCCAGCCUCUGCUUAAUAACCUCCAGAGAAGGAGACUACCACAUUCCAAGGCAGCAGAUUCCACAUUUUCAAGCUAUGAAAGAAGAGAGCUUCAGUAAGAGCUCUUGUCACAUUUAGUGAUAAUAGUGAAAUAACAGAGAAUAUGGGCAUCCUGCAGCACAUUUUGCUCUAGUUUUUCAAUGAACAUCUCAUCAAAUCUCAACCAAUUCAACAGAGUUUGCGGCUCCACAAAAACAAAGUUUAUGGAGUAUAACAACUACUUUCAAAAGCUUUAGGUGGCAUAGGGGAAUUCCGGACACUGCCAAGACAAAGACAUACACCUGGAACUUCAUCUCAACAAAGCAAUCCAUUAUGCAUUGCUGAAAAAAGAAGAAAGGUAUAACUAAAAGUGAGGAUGAAAGAAGACGUCCGUUUGGAUAAAUUAACUUACGUUCAUCUUUAUCUUUUCCUGUCUUUCCUUUGAGUAGGCACUGGGAUUUUCAUUUAAAUAGGCACUUGGCGAUUAGCUGGUUAGUAUAAAUCUCUUUUAAUGGGAUUGUGUGCUUUUAUUCUUAUUUCUGUUUUAAAAUCCUUUAUAUUUUUAAAUAACUGUAUUUUAUUAGAGCUGCUAGUUAAAUGGUCUUUAAAACAAAUUUUAACCAUCAAAAUUUUAAAUGUACCUUGUUUUAAUCUAUAAUGUUAGCCAUCCUGGGUCACACACUUGUUCAUAAAACCUAUUUUUAUCUUUGUUAUAAUAUUCCUUUAAUUGUCUAUAUUGAAAUCAAGGGACCUUUUUAUAUGUUUGACUUAUCUCUUUGAGUGUUUUCAUUAAAUAAAUAUCACUCUGCUUCUCCAAAAUUUCUGUAUAUGUUGGCCAUUUCCAUGUUUUUUUUCAUAGAACCAAUUAGGAACUGACAUUUAUAACCCAGGAACAAAAGCCGUAUUACAUUGUGUAAAUGGACAAAUACAUCUUGCAAUAAUAAGGAACUCUGUGAACAGCUGACCUGCCUGCCUGUGGAGUCUGCUUUCCAGGUGCCAAAUGUGAGAGCAACUUCAGAAUAUCAGCUCCAUCUCCUUACAGUUUUGUUUUAAAGCUGGGUUUGGUCCUCAAUCCAACAUCUUCAUAGCAUUGCAUAAAUAUAUGCAUGUGGAGAUAAGUCAUGGCCAUACAAAGCCCCUUCCACUACCUUUAACUGCCAUUCCAUUGGCCACUGAGUAGGAGGGAGGCAGUCAGCAAGACACAGCUACAUUGUGUCUUAUGUAUUUCAUCUUAUUUAUCUUUUAUAGAUUGUAAGCAUGGGAGCCAAUUAACAUUUUGUAAGCUACUCUGAAUGGUUUUGUGGCUGAAGAGUGGAGUAAAAAUUCUCUAAAUAAAUACCUGCAUGUGGAGAUGAGUUAUGGUCAUACCGUGGAAGUCAUGUGUUGUGUAGGAUCAUUUAGCAAUGCAUGUGGACAAUACACUAUGUGCAAAAGCCUCAUAGGAAAAAAGGGUGGCAGCACAAAAAUUCAUAGGCCAGCAGUGGAAGGAUAGCUCCAGGCAAGGUGAGUAGGUAGAAUCAUAGAAUCAUAGAGUUGGAAGAGACCUUGUGGGCCAUCCAGUCCAACCCCCUACCAAGAAGCAGGAAAAUCGCAUUUAAAGAGGUGUUAGAAGUGGAUACUAUAAAUUUUGCAUAGCAGCUGACCUUCCAAAUGUUUGACCUCAUCAGAUGGGCCACCAGAAUUGCCACGCAACAUGACAAAUCCGGUGGUGCCCAUCAGAGGGCAUGGGAACCCAUCACCCCACACCCUGCAUCACUCGACUCACCCAAGUUCCCAUCCCACAGGGGGGAGCAUCUGCCACCUGGCUUCCCCCCGUUGACUUUAUUCCACACGGGAAAUCUAUGUUGCUGCAGCAGUGGAAUGUGCCAGUUUGGUAAUACUUUUAAGAUGGAGUGCCACCGGAAGUCGCUCUACAUUGUGGGAUGGCAGCUGGCAGGCUCUAUCAUAAAAGUCUUGGAGAACUGAAACACAUUGCUGAAAAGGACCUCAUAUGAUGAGGUUGCGAGUGCGAACGACACCUACGUUGCACCAUCUGCGACCAAGGCUGUAUACCAAAAUCAGGAGAGUUUUCAGAGUCUGAACAUGCAGUUUAUCAUUGAUAUCAUUGAUGGCAGGAUAAUUGGUGCCUCUGGCCAGUACCCUGGGAACAGCCAUAAUGGAAUAUCUUAGAGCUAUCAGUUCCUAAAAUGCUAGCAAGGCAGGCUGGCUGCUGGGAAUCUGCUGCAUACAUCUGUCUAUGGGUAUGUCUGUUCUGACAUGUGUGCUAUUGCUUUUGACUUUGCACAACUCUGUUUCCACUCCUAUCAGCAGAAUAUGCCCAUUGUAGAAUACUGAGAUUGCCACUCUGCAUGCAUAGCACUACUUUUUGUUUUUGUUGUGUGCUUUCAUGUUGUUUCUGACUUGUGGUGACCCUAAUUUGACCCCAUCACAGGGUUUUGCACAUGUGUACAUCACUAACAGGUUGUUGGCCUUCGGCACCUUGAAAAAGUGGACUAUUAUCUUCUAGUCCUUGAAACAGCGGACUGUCCUCUGUAAAGUAGGAAAAAUGGUCACCCUGCAUAUGGAAGAAACCUGAGAUGUGCAGUUGUGUGAAGGGAAAUUCUGAACACUUUGACAAAGAAUGAUAAUGUCCAGGAUUCUUUGGGAAACUAUGACUUACAAUGCUAUAAAGCUGAUAUGCAUUCGUAGCAUAACCCCCUUCAUUCAAUUGUAAAUCUGACAAAUUGUGAAUAGAGGGGAAUAAUUUAAGAAAGGAUCUUUGAGAAAGAUGUCUUUUCAGGCAUAGUUGUAAAAAAAAUCAAGACAGGGUAUAUUUUAAGCCUGACAUACAUUUUUUCCUGCAUAAUGACAUCAUACUGUCACAAAAGUAUGCCCCUCCAUAAUUUAUUCUUUUUUCCUAAUACAAAUUGAUGAUUAUUCUGCCAGCUCAUCAGGUUACUGCAGCUGCCUGCAAAUCUCAAAAUCCAUUUAAUUCCUUGUGAAAAUUCGGGGUAUCAGAAAUGAUAUUUCAACUACUAUACCAGCUCCCUCUGGACCUGCCACCUGUCCAGUGCAGGACCAGAAACAUACUAAAAGGGUCAGUUUGACCAUCAAAAUGAACAUUAAAAAUAGUGCUCUGUGGAUGAUUCAAAAUGUUUUCAUUGACUUAUACAAGGCUUACCUAACUUGAUUGUUUCAUUUCACAUAUGUAUUUUGUUUUGAAUAAAAGGUUUGGUUAAUUUUAUUUAUUUAUUUAUUUAUUUAUUUAUUUGUGACAUUUAUAUCUGCCCUUCUCACCCCGAAGAGGACUCGGGACAGCUGACAUCUUUCUCUCAGACGAAGCCCUAAGGUGGUGCCCAGAUAAAAUCAAUUAAAAAGCCCCUUAACAAUAAAAAUUUUAAAAACAAUUCAAAUCACCACAUAACAUUAUGUGAAAUAUAUAUAUUUCAUUGGAUAAGAGAGUGUUGGAUAAGUGAGACUCUACUGUACUUCUACACUUAGUGGUUUUAAUUAUUGUUAAGGGACAGGAGCAGCCAGGUCUAAUCCUCUUAUUUCUAGGCACAGCAUUACAAGAG
Molecule: long non-coding RNA, 5413 nt
Organism: Anolis carolinensis (green anole)
Lineage: Eukaryota; Metazoa; Chordata; Lepidosauria; Squamata; Anolidae
Exons: 5
Source: RefSeq, a predicted model, not a curated record